RNAcentral lists this ribosomal RNA (253 nucleotides) under uncultured bacterium. RNAcentral describes it as "partial 16S ribosomal RNA". It matches the Rfam family "Bacterial small subunit ribosomal RNA", at positions 524 to 776 of the family's 1533-position model. The record is from RNAcentral.
UACGAAGGGGGCGAGCGUUGUUCGGAAUUACUGGGCGUAAAGGGCGCGUAGGCGGUGCACCAAGUCAGGCGUGAAAGCCCCGGGCUCAACCUGGGAAUUGCAUGGGAAACUGGCAGGCUUGAGUGUGGCAGAGGAGGGUGGAAUUCCGCGUGUAGCAGUGAAAUGCGUAGAGAUGCGGAGGAACACCGAGGGCGAAGGCAGCCCUCUGGGCCAACACUGACGCUCAGGCACGAAAGCGUGGGGAGCAAACAGG